Molecule: ribosomal RNA, 465 nt
Filed under: uncultured bacterium
Lineage: Bacteria
Description: partial 16S ribosomal RNA
Rfam family: Bacterial small subunit ribosomal RNA
Source: RNAcentral
GACGAACGCUGGCGGCGUGCUUAACACAUGCAAGUCGAACGGAAAGGCCCCUUUGGGGGUACUCGAGUGGCGAACGGGUGAGUAACACGUGAGUAACCUGCCCUUGACUUCGGGAUAACUUCAGGAAACUGGGGCUAAUACCGGAUAGGAAUCCUUGCUGCAUGGUGGGGGUUGGAAAGCUUCGGCGGUUUUGGAUGGACUCGCGGCUUAUCAGCUUGUUGGUGGGGUAGUGGCUUACCAAGGCUUUGACGGGUAGCCGGCCUGAGAGGGCGACCGGCCACAUUGGGACUGAGAUACGGCCCAGACUCCGACGGGAGGCAGCAGUGGGGAAUAUUGCACAAUGGGCGGAAGCCUGAUGCAGCAACGCCGCGGGCGGGAUGACGGCCUUCGGGUUGGAAACCGAUUUCAGCAGGGGCGAAGCUUGUGGUGACGGUACCUGCAGAAGAAGCACCGGCUAACUACGUG